GUGAAAACAUGGAGUAUGAUUUCAAGACUUGCUGCUAUCGAAUACAGAUCGCCCCGUGAUCAAUUUGAUAGAUUAUUAACGUUUAUUAAUACCUAAAGUUGGUUUAGAAAAGUAGUUUGAAGUGAUUUGUAAAAGUAUAUAGGCAACUUUUGUAAUUUUAAAAAGUGACGUUGCGUCUUGUAAAGGGGCAUUUUUCUGGAUCAGACCGGUCUUCAGCAAAUCACAUUUUGGGUAUACAAUGACGGAUUUAAUCGGGAAAAAGACCCAAUUGUGAUGUUUAUGUGACAUAUAGGAGUGCCAAGAAAGAAGCUCAUCAAAGUACCUCCACAGUCCUGAGCCUCAGACCUUCAGGAUAGACGAAACCUACAAGAGGGAGGGGUGUGCUGGGACUGGUUACUCCCGAUGACCCUACCGGAGAGAGUAGAGACGAGCUGGAUAAAGCCAUCAUGAACCUUACCAUAAAAAAACACAAGGACCACAUCAAGUCAACAAAGGAGGAAUUCCGACCUGUGUUAAUUAAGUGUGUGUAAAUGGAAUGCAAUUACAUUUUCAUGCACUUUUCUCUAGGUGUAUUCCGACCUUGAACUUAGGCAUUAGAAUGGUAUGUUGAAGUCAAAUGUCUACUGUUUGCCGAUUAUCUGGUGCUUCUGUCCCCAACCAAGGAGGAUCUAAAGCAGCACUUAGAUCUUAUGUACAGAUUCUGUCAGACCUGGGCCCUGCACAGACCUGGGCCCUGUCAGACCUGGGCCCUCACAGACCUGGGCCCUGCACAGACCUGGGCCCUGCCAGACCUGGGCCCUAACAAGGACCUGAGCCCUAGCACCAUGCUCCAGGACUACCUGACAUGAUGACUCCUUGCUGUCCCCAGUCCACCUGGCCGUGCUGCUGCUCCAGUUUCAACUGUUCUGCCUUAUUAUUAUUCGACCAUGCUGAUCAUUUAUGAACAUUUGAACAUCUUGGUCAUGUUCUGUUAUAAUCUCCACCCGGCACAGCCAGAAGAGGACUGGCCACCCCACAUAUGCUCUCUCUAAUUCUCUCUUUCUUUCUCUCUCUCGGAGAACCUGAGCCCUAGGACCAUGCCCCAGGACUACCUGACAUGAUGACUCCUUGCUGUCCCCAGUCCACCUGACCGUGCUGCUGCUCCAGUUUCAACUGUUCUGCCUUAUUAAUAUUCGACCAUGCUGGUCAUUUAUGAACAUUUGAACAUCUUGGCCAUGUUCUGUUAUAAUCUCCACCCGGCACAGC
Oncorhynchus tshawytscha (Chinook salmon) is the source of this 1245-nucleotide long non-coding RNA. NCBI's taxonomy places the organism in Eukaryota, Metazoa, Chordata, Actinopteri, Salmoniformes, Salmonidae. The record is from Ensembl.